CCCGGCAGGCGCGCGACAAACGGAAUGCACGGCGGAGGAGGUCUCCCGCAUCGCGCAGCGGAGUAAUUGUCGCGCAACGGGGUAUGCUCGCGCAGCUGAGAUGACCCGCGCGGCGGGGUAUGCUCGCGCAACGGUGGAGUAUGCUUCGCGCUGCUGAGAAGACCCGCGGCGGUGGAGCGUACUCGCGCAACGGUGGAGUAUGCUUCGCGCAGCUGAGAAACCCGCGGCGGCGGAGUAUGCUUCGCGCAGCUGAGAAGACCCGCGGCGGCGGAGUAUGCUCGCGCAACGGCGGGAUAUGCCUCGCGCAGCUGAGGAGACCCGCGGCGGCGGCAGAGUGGGACCAGCAGGCGGGGUGCCCUCGCGCGACAGCGUAGUGGGACCGACAGUCUUGGUGUGCUCGCGUGGCUGCGGA
Molecule: long non-coding RNA, 412 nt
Filed under: Helianthus annuus (common sunflower)
Lineage: Eukaryota; Viridiplantae; Streptophyta; Magnoliopsida; Asterales; Asteraceae
Description: hypothetical non coding rna
Source: RNAcentral